UUUGUCUGUUACGAUCGUGCUCAGUACGAUGUCGUCCAGUCCGGGGAACUCCGCUUUGUGUGUGGUUAGAGGGCGGUCAGAGUGUACGCAAUGUGUGUUGGAGCAGGGGUGACCACUGGGCCUCCAAGGGAGCCACGUGCAGACAUGUGCAACCUUCGAUCUCCCGACCUCUCGGAUCGACCAUGUUGAUCUAACUUCCUUAAGCCAGUUUCUGUCUGAUAUGCCAGCUUGAGCAGCUCUUGCACAUCUCGUUCCCUUGGGUAUCUAGCUGAUGGGAGCUCAUCUCUGUUUUCAUCUCAGGAUUGCUGUUGGCAGAAACUAGAAUUUGAAUGGACCCACAUGAAUCUGGGUGUGGGAAAGGAUUGCACACAGAUGGUUUAUUUUGGCAUCAUCUGUUAACGUCCUAUAGGUUCAGAAGCCAUGUGUGACAUUGUUGUCAGCCUGAUCUUCCUGUGGCUUUGUUCAGCGAGUCUUGUAACAGAAAGUUUAACUGGAGUUGGAACACAAGACAAGGCGUCUUGAAAGAAAGACUGACCCUGUUCUCCUGAAAGUGAAGCAGUUGUUCAAGGUUAUUGUAUAUGCAGCCUGAGUUCAAAAGGCUGUGCCCAUUCUUUGAAGAAUCAAUUAUUGUUAGACCUUGGUAAAAUUGUA
Long non-coding RNA from Propithecus coquereli (Coquerel's sifaka), 651 nucleotides. RefSeq lists it as uncharacterized. Lineage: Eukaryota; Metazoa; Chordata; Mammalia; Primates; Indriidae. The transcript has 5 exons. The record is from RefSeq and is a predicted model, not a curated record.